CUUGGAACCGGGAGAGGUAAGAGGUACUACAGGGGUAGGAGUCGAAAUCUUGUAAUCCCUGUGGGACCACCUGUGGCGAAGGCGUCUUACCAGAACGGGUUCGACGGUGAGGGACGAAAGCUGGGGGCACGAACCGGAUUAGAUACCCGGGUAGUCCCAGCCGUAAACGAUGCUCGCUAGGUGUCAGGCAUGGCGCGACCGUGUCUGGUGCCGCAGGGAAGCCGUGAAGCGAGCCACCUGGGAAGUACGGCCGCAAGGCUGAAACUUAAAGGAAUUGGCGGGGGAGCACAACAAAACGGGUGGAGCCUGCGGUUUAAUUGGACUCAACGCCGGACAACUCACCGGGGCGACAGCAAUAUGUAGGCCAAGCUGAAGACUUUGCCUGAAUCGCUGAGGGGAGGUGCAUGG
RNAcentral lists this ribosomal RNA (408 nucleotides) under uncultured archaeon. RNAcentral describes it as "bacterial SSU rRNA". It matches the Rfam family "Archaeal small subunit ribosomal RNA", at positions 592 to 997 of the family's 1478-position model. The record is from RNAcentral.